AGUGAACGCUGGCGGUAGGCCUAACACAUGCAAGUCGAACGGCAGCACAGUAAGAGCUUGCUCUUACGGGUGGCGAGUGGCGGACGGGUGAGGAAUAGAUCGGAAUCUACUUUUUCGUGGGGGAUAACGUAGGGAAACUUACGCUAAUACCGCAUACUACCUACGGGUGAAAGCAGGAGAUCUUCGCACCUUGCGCGAUUGAAUGAGCCGAUGUCGGAUUAGCUAGUUGGCGGGGUAAAGUCCCACCAAGGCAACGAUCCGUAGCUGGUCUGAGAGGAUGAUCAGCCACACUGGAACUGAGACACGGUCCAGACUCCUACGGGAGGCAGCAGUGGGGAAUAUUGGACAAUGGGCGCAAGCCUGAUCCAGCAAUACCGCGUGGGUGAAGAAGGCCUUCGGGUUGUAAAGCUCUUUUGUUGGGAAAGAAAAGCAGCAGGUUAAUCCCCCGAUGUUCUGACGGUACCCAAAGUAUAAGCACCGGCUAACUUCGUG
This 492-nucleotide ribosomal RNA is filed under the name uncultured bacterium. RNAcentral describes it as "partial 16S ribosomal RNA". It matches the Rfam family "Bacterial small subunit ribosomal RNA", at positions 29 to 507 of the family's 1533-position model. The record is from RNAcentral.